This 492-nucleotide ribosomal RNA is filed under the name uncultured bacterium. RNAcentral's name for it is "partial 16S ribosomal RNA". It matches the Rfam family "Bacterial small subunit ribosomal RNA", at positions 29 to 507 of the family's 1533-position model. The record is from RNAcentral.
AGUGAACGCUGGCGGUAGGCCUAACACAUGCAAGUCGAACGGCAGCACAGUAAGAGCUUGCUCUUACGGGUGGCGAGUGGCGGACGGGUGAGGAAUACAUCGGAAUCUACUUUUUCGUGGGGGAUAACGUAGGGAAACUUACGCUAAUACCGCAUACGACCUACGGGUGAAAGCAGGGGAUCUUCGGACCUUGCGCGAUUGAAUGAGCCGAUGUCGGAUUAGCUAGUUGGCGGGGUAAAGGCCCACCAAGGCGACGAUCCGUAGCUGGUCUGAGAGGAUGAUAAGCCACACUGGAACUGAGACGCGGUCCAGACUCCUACGGGAGGCAGCAGUGGGGAAUAUUGGACAAUGGGCGCAAGCCUGAUCCAGCCAUACCGCGUGGGUGAAGAAGGCCUUCGGGUUGUAAAGCCCUUUUGUUGGGAAAGAAAAGCAGCAGGCUAAUACCCCGCUGUUCUGACGGUACCCAAAGAAUAAGCACCGGCUAACUUCGUG